RNAcentral lists this ribosomal RNA (497 nucleotides) under uncultured bacterium. RNAcentral's name for it is "partial 16S ribosomal RNA". It matches the Rfam family "Bacterial small subunit ribosomal RNA", at positions 28 to 507 of the family's 1533-position model. The record is from RNAcentral.
GAUGAACGCUGGCGGCGUGCCUAAUACAUGCAAGUCGAGCGAACAGAUAAGGAGCUUGCUCCUUUGACGUUAGCGGCGGACGGGUGAGUAACACGUGGAUAACCUACCUAUAAGACUGGGAUAACUUCGGGAAACCGGAGCUAAUACCGGAUAACAUAUUGAACCGCAUGGUUCAAUAGUGAAAGGCGGCUUUGCUGUCACUUAUAGAUGGAUCCGCGCCGUAUUAGCUAGUUGGUAAGGUAACGGCUUACCAAGGCAACGAUACGUAGCCGACCUGAGAGGGUGAUCGGCCACACUGGAACUGAGACACGGUCCAGACUCCUACGGGAGGCAGCAGUAGGGAAUCUUCCGCAAUGGGCGAAAGCCUGACGGAGCAACGCCGCGUGAGUGAUGAAGGUCUUCGGAUCGUAAAACUCUGUUAUCAGGGAAGAACAAAUGUGUAAGUAACUGUGCACAUCUUGACGGUACCUGAACAGAAAGCCACGGCUAACUACGUG